UUCAGCCAUUCAAUUUGUCAUCACAAGAAAAUAAUAUAAGUAUUUUCGUAUUGGAAUGGAAGUCAUAAGGAAAUACUCUAUCGCUAUCCACACAGCUGUUGCCACCACGCUGUUAGCACCAGCAUAAUAAUCACUGCAUCUUAGGUCCUGUUUGGUAGCGUUUGUCUUAGCUUCAGUUUCACCUAUUUGCGCAAAACGAGCUACUGCAGCGUGAAGUCGUUUUUCCCUUACUGUUUUCUGUGCUUUCAGCUGU
RNAcentral lists this long non-coding RNA (253 nucleotides) under Setaria viridis. Its description in RNAcentral is "long non-coding RNA (SVIR_LNC001503)". The record is from RNAcentral. Lineage: Eukaryota; Viridiplantae; Streptophyta; Magnoliopsida; Poales; Poaceae.